UCUUUCCCGUAUAGACCACUCUCUUCCCUCUCGCUCAUCUCUCCUUCUCUCUUUCCCACAGACAUCUCUCUCCUCUUCGCAAGCUUUCCUCUUCACAAUCUCGAAUCCUACCACCACCACUACCCUCUCGUUCUAAACGACGGGCAGCCACGCGAAUCUCGAAGCCGACGCGAAUUAAGUCCCCAAAAUCAAGGUGAGGGUUUCUGAUUAUCGAUGGGUUUUGUUAUUUAGGGUUUAAGCUCAAAUUGCAUGUUGGGUUUUUGUCAAAUUGUUUUUUUCCUGAUGUGAUUGGAGUUGAUUGUCUGAAAUUUUUGCAAUUUUGUUGAUAUGUAUGUGUGUUUUGUGUAUGAUCUGUGCAAGUCUCCAACUCCAGCUCACAUCAUAAGCCGUCUCUAACUCCAGCUCUCGUCAUAAGCCGUCUCCAACUCCGUCUAACUCUCAUCUGAUUGUACAAUAUGUGCAAGUUCUCUGGCAAAUACAAACUUGCAUCUCCAAUUUGGUAGGUUCGCAUUCCAUUUUAGUACGUUUCUUAUUAGCGUUUUUGUUUGAUAAAGUUAAAGUUCUCUGGCAAAUACAAACUUGCAUCUCCAGUUUGGCAAAUACAAACUCGCAUCUCCUGUUUGGCAGGUUUGCUCCACGGUCUCCAGGUACUUCUGCGUUUGCAAUGGAAACAUCUGAUUUGAUAUUACAGAAAGAUAAAGUUAAUGGGUUAAUUAAUUGGUAUUUAUGCAUCUAGAUAAUAGAUAUCAAAGUUUUAAUUUCCAUUUCUUAUUAUGUUUUAACUUUUAUAAUAGUUUGAUUAGUUUAACCAUAUCAGUAAUUUAAGUUCUGCUUUUUAAAUGGAUUAAUGGGUUUAUCAAAGUUCUUAACUACAUAACUAGAUCUCCAAAAAUAUGACUUGAAUUUGAGUCUUCAUCCCUCGUACCGAAAAAUGACUUAAAUUUGAGUCUCAGUUUAAAUUAGUUAGUCAUUUGUACUAUUUAAUUUUCCUAUUCUUUUUAAGCUGUUGUGUUGUUGAAAGCUUUAAGUGUACCUGUACCCCAUUUUCCACUUUAUGAGAAUGGUUCUCAUAUUGGUUUGGUUAAAAUUUUCUCUCUGAAUAGUUGCAGAUUUGCUGGGCCUUCCUAUUUUGGGAUACUCUCUAGAUAUUGGG
This 1153-nucleotide long non-coding RNA is filed under the name Malus domestica (apple). RNAcentral describes it as "long non-coding RNA (MDOM_LNC013950)". Lineage: Eukaryota; Viridiplantae; Streptophyta; Magnoliopsida; Rosales; Rosaceae. The record is from RNAcentral.